AGAGUUUGAUCAUGGCUCAGGACGAACGCUGGCGGUGUGCUUCACACAUGCAAGUCGAACGAGGUAGCAAUACCUAGUGGCGGACGGGUGAGUAACGCGUGGGAAUCUGCCUUUAGAUGGGGGAUAACGGGUCGAAAGACUCGCUAAUACCGCAUAUGACGAAAGUUGAAAGGAGUAAUCCGUCUAAAGAUGAGCCCGCGUCCGAUUAGCUAGUUGGUAGAGUAAAAGCCUACCAAGGCGACGAUCGGUAGCUGGUCUGAGAGGAUGAUCAGCCACAAUGGGACUGAGACACGGCCCAUACUCCUACGGGAGGCAGCAGUGGGGAAUUUUACGCAAUGGGCGAAAGCCUGACGUAGCGACACCGCGUGAGCGAAGAAGCCCCUUGGGGUGUAAAGCUCUGUCAGCUGGAACGAAAAAAAUGACGGUACCAGCAGAGGAAGCAUCGGCUAACUACGUGCCAGCAGCCGCGGUAAGACGUAGGAUGCAAGCGUUGUCCGGAUUUAUUGGGCGUAAAGAGUUCGUAGGUGGUUUGUUAAGUUUGGUGUUAAAGAUUGGGGCUCAACCCUGAAACUGCACUGAAUACUGGCAGACUCGAGUGUGGUAGAGGCUAGUGGAAUUCCCAGUGUAGCGGUGAAAUGCGUAGAUAUUGGGAAGAACACCGGUGGCGUAGGCGACUAGCUGGGCCAUAACUGACACUGAGGAACGAAAGCCAGGGGAGCGAAUGGGAUUAGAUACCCCGGUAGUCCAA
RNAcentral lists this ribosomal RNA (748 nucleotides) under uncultured bacterium. RNAcentral describes it as "bacterial SSU rRNA". It matches the Rfam family "Bacterial small subunit ribosomal RNA", at positions 8 to 798 of the family's 1533-position model. The record is from RNAcentral.